This 521-nucleotide ribosomal RNA is filed under the name uncultured Pseudomonadota bacterium. RNAcentral describes it as "bacterial SSU rRNA". It matches the Rfam family "Bacterial small subunit ribosomal RNA", at positions 8 to 522 of the family's 1533-position model. The record is from RNAcentral. Lineage: Bacteria; Pseudomonadati; Pseudomonadota.
AGAGUUUGAUCAUGGCUCAGAUUGAACGCUGGCGGCAUGCCUUACACAUGCAAGUCGAGCGGCAGCGCGGGGGCAACCCUGGCGGCGAGCGGCGGACGGGUGAGUAAUACAUCGGAACGUGUCCUUUCGUGGGGGAUAACCAGUCGAAAGACUGGCUAAUACCGCAUGAGAUCUCACGAUGAAAGCGGGGGACCCGUAAGGGCCUCGCGCGAUUGGAGCGGCCGAUGUCGGAUUAGCUAGUUGGCGGGGUAAAAGCCCACCAAGGCAACGAUCCGUAGCUGGUUUGAGAGAACGACCAGCCACACUGGGACUGAGACACGGCCCAGACUCCUACGGGAGGCAGCAGUGGGGAAUUUUGGACAAUGGGGGCAACCCUGAUCCAGCCAUGCCGCGUGUGUGAAGAAGGCCUUCGGGUUGUAAAGCACUUUCGGCCGGAACGAAAUCGCGCGGGCUAUUACCCCGCGUGGAUGACGGUACCGGAAGAAGAAGCACCGGCUAACUACGUGCCAGCAGCCGCGGUA